This 253-nucleotide ribosomal RNA is filed under the name uncultured bacterium. RNAcentral describes it as "partial 16S ribosomal RNA". It matches the Rfam family "Bacterial small subunit ribosomal RNA", at positions 524 to 776 of the family's 1533-position model. The record is from RNAcentral.
UACGUAGGGUGCAAGCGUUGUCCGGAAUUAUUGGGCGUAAAGCGUGCGCAGGCGGUUUUGUAAGCCAGAUGUGAAAUCCCCGGGCUUAACCUGGGAAUGGCAUUUGGGACUGCAAGGCUUGAGUGCGGCAGAGGAGACUAGAAUUCCUGGUGUAGCAGUGAAAUGCGUAGAUAUCAGGAGGAAUACCGAUGGCGAAGGCAGGUCUCUGGGCUGACACUGACGCUCAUGCACGAAAGCGUGGGGAGCAAACAGG